AGGCUGCAAGAAAUUGAAAGAAAGGAAGAUAAAGGAAUCUGUUAUAAAUACAGUAAACUUGGAGCAUCCUUCUUCAAAGACAUGAAUGUUUUGGUCACUGCUGGACAAAGAAUUUCCUUGUAUCAGAACAGCAGAAGAAUGUGAAGAAUUAGGAAAGUUGGUAAAACCACACAGGAGGCCAAAGAAGUGAGCAUUGACCUCCAGGCUGAGAGAUCCAAAGAACGUAGAGCCAUGCCAUUGAGAAUCACUAGAGUUGAGAUCUGGAAGGAAUGCGGAAGACCACCUGCUCCAGUCCCACCAAUUUCAGAAAUGGGAAAACCAAGACCUAGAGCCGUGAAGUGGUUUGUUCAAGGUUGUACAAUAAGUGUAAAACAAACAUGAGAAUGCCAGGACUCACCUAGUUCUUUCAUCAGUGGUAUAAAGCACGUACAGUUGCAGUAUUUGCUUUCCACAAAGGUGACCAUGAGUCUUACGGUCUCACAUCUGGACCACGCAUACUGGUCCUUCGACUCAAGUAAGAGAGCUCUGGUGAGUGGAAAUGGCUCUUUCUGUGUCAGUUCAAUGAAUUCAGAGUCCUAAUGAUGAAAAUAAAUUUCUCCGAGCCAACUGUCACACCCAGACAGCAAAUGCCAGUCGUCUUUAGUGGACUUUCUUUAUUCUCCUUCUAGUAUUUACCCUUAGGGCUGGAGAACACACUCCCCUGCUACUCUCAAACAUUCCAUGGCAGGCAAAUUUCAAACAUUUCUAUAAAAGCACUUUGCAAAACAGUGCGUGCUCCCAAUGCUGGUAUGGAAUCUCUAAAAUCCUAACUACCUUUUGGAGGAGCUGGUUUUGUCAUGAUUUAUUUUGGUCUUCUGCCUAAACAAUUCAUUUGGGUCUUCAGUAUUCUCUUCAGGCAUCUGACUCUCAUGUUCUUGCUUGGAUUAAGGUGAUGUAGAAACCGCAAUCUGAUUAAGCUGGUAAUCAGUCCAAACACUAUAAAUACGUGUUAUUUCCCAGGGCAGGCCUAUAAAUGGUCUCUGAUCCUCACCCAAAAUGGCACAGUGAUGAAGGAAUGGCAUGGCCAGGUAAGGACAGAAAUGAUGAACGAGAAGCUCACUGUCUAGUCCCAACUAUUCACACACUUUGUGGUUUUUAGUCAAGUCACUUAAUCUAUUCAGAGCUUCAUGUUUCUCCAUAAAAUACCGGGUCUGUCUAAUCUGUACUAGCCAAUACGGGGGCUAUUAGCCCCUGUGGCUACUUACCACACAAACUGUAGCUUGGCUGAUUGAAGCACGAAAAUUUUAAUUUUACUUAACUUGUUUAAAGUAAAAAAAUCAAUACAAUUCAGUGACUGGAGGAAGUGUGGUUUUU
Mustela erminea (ermine) is the source of this 1353-nucleotide long non-coding RNA. RefSeq lists it as uncharacterized. The transcript has 3 exons. NCBI's taxonomy places the organism in Eukaryota, Metazoa, Chordata, Mammalia, Carnivora, Mustelidae. The record is from RefSeq and is a predicted model, not a curated record.